Molecule: ribosomal RNA, 637 nt
Filed under: uncultured bacterium
Lineage: Bacteria
Description: bacterial SSU rRNA
Rfam family: Bacterial small subunit ribosomal RNA
Source: RNAcentral
GUGGGAAUCUAUCCAUGGGUUCGGAAUAACGGUUAGAAAUGACUGCUAAUACCGGAUGAUGUCGUAAGACCAAAGAUUUAUUACCCAGGGAUGAUCCCGCGUUCGAUUACCUAGUUGGUGGGGUAAAGGCCUACCAAGGUUACGAUCUUUAGCUGGUCUGAGAGGAUGAUCACCCACACUGGGACUGAGACACGGCCCACACUCCUACGGGAGGCACCUCUGGGGAAUAUUGGACAAUGGGCGAAAGCCUGAUCCAGCAAUGCCGCGUGAGUGAUAAAGGCCUUAGGGUUGUAAAGCUCUUUUACCCGCGAUGAUAAUGACAGUACCGGGAGAAUAAACCCCGGCUAACUCCGUGCCAGCAGCCGCGGAAAUACCUAGGGGGCUAGCAUUGUUCGGAAUUACUGGCCGUAAACCGUGCGUCAGCGGUAAUUCAAGUCAUAGGUGAAACCCUGGUGCUCAACCUCAGAACUGCCUUUGAUACUAGAUUGCUAGACUUGCGGAGAGGUGAGUGGAAUUCCGAGUGUAGAGGUAGAAUUCUUAUAUAUUCGGAAGAACACCAUUGAAGAAGGCGGCUCCCUGGACCCCUACUGACGCUGAGGCACGAACGCAUGCCGAGCAAACANCACUAGAUACCCUG